CAAGCAAGGGGACGCGACGAUCCUCGAGCCGUCUACGAGACGGUCGCCGAGCUGGAGCAGGGUUCCAGCGGGCUCGAGGGGAGCGAGUGGCGAGACCGACCCCCGGACCG
This 110-nucleotide non-coding RNA is filed under the name unclassified sequences. The record is from Rfam.